AAACAACUGAAAACUCUUUACAAAGAAAAUAAAAAACUCACAGGAAAAUCACUAAUAGGGAAAGAUUGUGCAGAUCUUUACAAAAAUGGUG
Molecule: long non-coding RNA, 91 nt
Organism: Xenia sp. Carnegie-2017
Lineage: Eukaryota; Metazoa; Cnidaria; Anthozoa; Malacalcyonacea; Xeniidae
Exons: 2
Source: RefSeq, a predicted model, not a curated record